CCUGGUGGCUCAGAGGGUAAAGCAUCUGCCUGCAAUGCGGGAGACCUGGGUUCGAUUCCUGGGUCAGGA
This 69-nucleotide transfer RNA is filed under the name Bos taurus (domestic cattle). It matches the Rfam family "tRNA". Rfam says of the family: Transfer RNA (tRNA) molecules are approximately 80 nucleotides in length. Lineage: Eukaryota; Metazoa; Chordata; Mammalia; Artiodactyla; Bovidae. The record is from Rfam by way of RNAcentral.